GCUGGCAAGUGAUGAUCUGAUAUCCUACACUCUCAAUGGAAAAUUCCAUGUGUGGACUAUUAAUCUCAUCUUAUUAUCUGAUGCACAAA
This 89-nucleotide small nucleolar RNA is filed under the name Triticum aestivum (bread wheat). RNAcentral describes it as "Small nucleolar RNA R16". It matches the Rfam family "Small nucleolar RNA R16". From Rfam's summary of the family: snoR16 is a member of the C/D class of snoRNA which contain the C (UGAUGA) and D (CUGA) box motifs. Most of the members of the box C/D family function in directing site-specific 2'-O-methylation of substrate RNAs. RNAcentral also lists the same sequence under 1 other name. Lineage: Eukaryota; Viridiplantae; Streptophyta; Magnoliopsida; Poales; Poaceae. The record is from Rfam by way of RNAcentral.